CGCGAUGUGAGUGGUAAGAUGGCGGCCGGAUAGCUUCAAUCUGACGAGCCUGUGAGCUCUCCAGAGUUUUACGUAGGGCUCAGUGGGCGGAGCAGCGGUAGUUGGAGUAGAAGUCGAAGGAGGAGAGGAGUGAAUGUCUAUAUCUCGGAUAUACAUUUUGUCUGAAAUAAAGAGCUCCCGAGUUCGCACCACUCCAGACCGCUAGGUGGAGAUAAAUACACAUCAUCUGAGAACGGCUUUAAGUCGAAGAGCUAGAAGAUAACGCGUAUGCGCACAGUAUGUACAGUCUUCAGUUGCCCCCUGAGGAUGUCAGUGCUCAGAGGAAAGAUGCUUUCUGAUCCCCCGGAAGUCAGACUGAGGUACUGCAGUCGAGCACGUGCUCGGAGAUGAUUAUGAUGAGGAAGAAGAGGAGGAGGAGGAGGGAGGUUGAUUCUCGUCUCAUCCAGAGUCAUGUUCAUGUUUCAGAGGAGACCUGUGAUGCUUCAAGAUCUUACAUCAGUAUUGACUGAGAUGACUCUCAGUAUCCUGAGUCCCUGGUUGCUUGGGAUUCUAGGAGAUCGGUGUCCCGUGGUGAGGAGAUGCAUGAAUAAAGAACGAUGCUGUAAAUUCAGGUUCCAGUGGACUGUGAUGUAGGAGGCAGCUAUGGUGGUAUGGUUUGAUGGAUGUUUAUGGUCUGCUAUUUUCAUCUGCUUUUGUCAAUGUUUAUUAAAUUAAAACUACUGAAAUACUGA
Neoarius graeffei (lesser salmon catfish) is the source of this 731-nucleotide long non-coding RNA. RefSeq lists it as uncharacterized. NCBI's taxonomy places the organism in Eukaryota, Metazoa, Chordata, Actinopteri, Siluriformes, Ariidae. The record is from RefSeq and is a predicted model, not a curated record. The transcript is spliced from 6 exons.